GGGCAGUUAGCUCAGGGGGAGAGCGCUACCUUGACACGGUAGAGGUCGCUGGUUCGAUCCCAGUACUGCCCACCA
Molecule: transfer RNA, 75 nt
Filed under: Polycladospora coralii
Lineage: Bacteria; Bacillati; Bacillota; Bacilli; Caryophanales; Thermoactinomycetaceae
Description: tRNA-Val
Rfam family: tRNA
About the family: Transfer RNA (tRNA) molecules are approximately 80 nucleotides in length. Their secondary structure includes four short double-helical elements and three loops (D, anti-codon, and T loops). Further hydrogen bonds mediate the characteristic L-shaped molecular structure. tRNAs have two regions of fundamental functional importance: the anti-codon, which is responsible for specific mRNA codon recognition, and the 3' end, to which the tRNAs corresponding amino acid is attached (by aminoacyl-tRNA synthetases). tRNAs cope with the degeneracy of the genetic code in two manners: having more than one tRNA (with a specific anti-codon) for a particular amino acid; and 'wobble' base-pairing, i.e. permitting non-standard base-pairing at the 3rd anti-codon position.
Source: RNAcentral